GGCCCCAGAGGUGAGGAUUUCCAGGCCAAGCAGAGGCUUGUCUAGGCCAAAACCCAAAGCCCAAGGCCCUUAAUGAAUCACACGGUGCUUCCCAGGCCUUCCUUGGGGCCCCGGGGUACUGGGGCUCCAGGACCACAGGCCCAAUACGGCCACCCCCCCACCCCACUCUCCACCGCUCCCCAUCACGCUCUCAGACCCAGCCACACCACGUAAAGCUACGACACACUCUCCCUUCCACCAAAAACCCCCUUGAUAGGACUGCCUUUCCCUGCUCUUUGCAGUUCUAACAUGCUUUAUAAAUACAGAUGCACCCUGUCUCCCCUCCACAGACAUCAGCUUCCUAAGGACAGGGCCGUUUUUUUUGUUUUUGUUUUCUGCUUUGUUCCUAGUUGUACCCUAAACUAGUAGGUGCUUAAUAAGCAUUUGUGGAAUGUGUGAAUGGAUCCUCACCCAGCUCCGAGAAGUAGGUGCUAUUGUUAUUACAAUAUAUGAAGCAGGAAAGUGAAAUUGAGCAAGGUGGUGAGUUGGUGAGUUGCCCAAGAACUCAGACAGCUGGAGAGGGGGGAAAUCAGGGCCAUAACAGUAAUAACCACAGCUAAGUAGGUAUCGAGUACCUACUAUGUGCCAGGCACCGUGGUGGGUGUUGGAAUGGAAACGGAAGAAAAAAGCCAGGCACAUAGUAAGUGCUUUAUAUGGAUACUCUUGGAAUCCUCAGGGGGACUCUCUGUAGAGGGGACUGUUGUACCCAUUUCACAGAUGAGGAAACCGAGGCUCAGAGGGAUUAAAUAACAGGUCUCUAAUAAUAUCAGCUAUAAGAACAAGCCUGGCUUACUGAGCUGUGUUCCAGAUACUGGCUUUACAUCCAGGAUCUCUCACCGUUACCUUCUUCUAUUGUAUUUUACAGCAAAGAAACCAAGCUUCCGAGAAGCAGCUUAGUGUCUGUAGUAAGAUGGAAUGAGGCAGCUUGAACUCAUUUCCCAAGUUCUUCUGUCCCAGGACAUGCCUGGCACUGGGAGGUGGACAGGCCCACCUACAGAAGCCCAUUGCACAUUUGGUGCCUCAAAGCCAGAUGACCCUCCCUGGAACCUUGGUUUCCCCAAGUCUCUGAAGGGUCUGGGGCCAUGCUGUCCCUCCUCUCCACCCCCUCAUCCCCCAGCAUGGAACUGGCAGGUGGCUUCCUUCCCAUUCACACUUGGGACUGUCACUGUCUCGGGGCAGGGGUGGGGUGGGGUGGGGGAAGGAGGCUGGAAAGAGGUAGUGGCAACUCGGCUGUGUGACGUCAGGCAUGCUGCUGUGCCUCUCUGAGCUGCCAGCCUCUCCUGACUCCAUGGAAUCACAGCUUGCUGCGAAGGCCCUGGGCUGGGAUCUGGAGCCAGGGUCUGGGACUACUCACAGAAGGCCUGGCACCUGAAGGCACCCUCUUUCUGCCUGGAAGGACCAGGGGGAGGCACAGAGCCACCUGCACCCCUGCCCCAGACCUAUUUCUUCUCCCCACUCUGGGAGUGGUCCCCUGGGAGUGGUCUGCAAGCCCCCAAGAGAUGGGGCCCAGUCCUGCCCCCUUGUCCCACCUGGCCUAUCCUGGCCUGCCUUUUAUCACCAGGAAAGAAGAGUGAGUAACGAGGAGGCCACCUUCUCCAGGCCCCCAGAAGCCCUUAUCGGUACCUCUCUUGAAUCCACUCCACACUCCCCCUUCUCCCGCUGCUGCCUGCCUCCCGAUCCCUUCUGUCAUUCAAUCCUUGCAACUCAGCCAGUGUCCCAGCUCUGCCUCUUUUACAGACUGGGAAAGUGAGGUGCAGAGAGGUGCCUGGACCGGUCCUGAGUCCAUGGAAGCCGGGACAUCUUUCCCAGAGGGCCCCAGGAAUCUUUCUGAAGGCCAGCCUUCCCCAUCACGCCCCUGCCUGGGUAAUAAGGGUUCUGUUGGGGGGCAUGUCCCCCAGAAGAUGGAGCUGGACUUCAGAGGAGGACAGCCACCUGCCUGAGGUCACACAGCCAGAAGACAGCAGAAUUCUGACUCAGAACCUGUGACUACAGAGGGGAAAACUGAGGCCCCAAGAGGGGAAGGGUCUUGUCCAAGGUCAUGCAGGCCCUGAUAGGGCCUAGAACCCCACCAAGGCUGGGCUAGUGCUGAAGCACCAGAACCCCAGGCAGAGCCUUCCCACAGCCCUGGUGGGGGUAGGGGACUGCCUGGCAUUUCCUGUUUCUUUGGGGAGGACUUAGGGCAUGACCUGAGUGAGAAGAUGUGGGGAGACUUCCCGUGGCCCCUCUCUGCUCUCAGGCGAUAACUGGGACUGAGGGGCCAAGGAUGCGGUGGGGGGCAGAGGCUGGGAGUUCGAGUCCUGGCUUCCAGGCCUCCUCUCCCUCAUUGACUGUGUAUCUUUGUCCCCGCCCACCCCCACCCCCCCACCCCAAAGUCUCUGCAGCCUUGGGUGGCCCCUUCUUACCAUCCAGUGCGUGGACUCAGACAAAGUCCCAGACCCUCAGGGAAGCACGAGGUCAUGACCUUGGAGAAUCACUUCCCCCUCUGAGCCUCAGUUUCCUCUUCUGUCAAGUGGAGUCAUCGUGAGAUGGGGAGAAAACUGACCUGAUGGCCGGACUUAGGAGCGAAUUAAGCAUGUAAACCACCAAUGGCAGAGCCUGGCACCCAAUAGGUGGACCCGGCUGUUGUGCAUCUCAACCCUCCCCGGUGCUGGCCCGCUGGCCGCAGCCUCUGCCCUUUCUUACGCUCUCGGGUACCCGGCCCCGGGGCCUUUCCUGCCGCACCCCAGCCUUGCUCGCUCACGAGUGCUGUUCUCCAACCUCACCAGCCGCUUCUGCUUCUCUGUUGCUCCAAGCUCACUCCUGCCUCAGGGCCUUUGCACCUACAGGUCUCUCUUCCCGGAUUCCCUUUCCCCAUGUUUUCCCUUCUUUAACAGAAAUUUUAGUUUUAGAUUCUAUCAUUAGAAUCUAAAACAAGACCUAGAAGAGUUUAGGCAUUUAAUAAAUAUUUGUCCCAUAAAUAAAUGAAUGAAUUUUGA
This is a long non-coding RNA of Acinonyx jubatus (cheetah), 3014 nucleotides long. RefSeq lists it as uncharacterized. Lineage: Eukaryota; Metazoa; Chordata; Mammalia; Carnivora; Felidae. The transcript is spliced from 3 exons. The record is from RefSeq and is a predicted model, not a curated record.